Molecule: ribosomal RNA, 568 nt
Filed under: uncultured Glomeromycotina
Lineage: Eukaryota; Fungi; Glomeromycota
Description: SSU rRNA
Rfam family: Eukaryotic small subunit ribosomal RNA
Source: RNAcentral
UUGGAGGGCAAGUCUGGUGCCAGCAGCCGCGGUAAUUCCAGCUCCAAUAGCGUAUAUUAAAGUUGUUGCAGUUAAAAAGCUCGUAGUUGAAUUUUGGGUCUGGCCGGGCGGUCCGCCUUCUGGGUGAGUACUGUUCCGAUGUCGGGCCUAUCCUUCUGGUGAAUCGGCAUGCCCUUUACUGGAUGUGUCGGGGAACCAGGACCAUUACCUUGAAAAAAUUAGAGUGUUCAAAGCAGGCGCAUGCUCGAAUACAUUAGCAUGGAAUAAUGAAAUAGGACGCGUGGUGCUAUUUUGUUGGUUUCUAGAACCGCCGUAAUGAUUAAUAGGGAUAGUUGGGGGCAUUAGUAUUCAAUUGUCAGAGGUGAAAUUCUUGGAUUUAUUGAAGACUAACUUCUGCGAGAGCAUUUGCCAAGGAUGUUUUCAUUAAUCAAGAACGAAAGUUAGGGGAUCGAAGACGAUCAGAUACCGUCGUAGUCUUAACCAUAAACUAUGCCGACUAGGAAUCAGACGAUGUUAAUUUUUUAAUGACUCGUUUGGCACCUUACGGGAAACCAAAGUGUUUGGGUUC